AUACGUAGGGAGCGAGCGUUGUCCGGAAUUACUGGGCGUAAAGGGCGUGUAGGCGGAGAUCUAAGCAGGGUGUGAAAACUAUGGGCUCAACCCGUAGCCUGCAUUCUGAACUGGAUCCCUUGAGGGCAGGAGAGGAAAGUGGAAUUCCUAGUGUAGCGGUGAAAUGCGUAGAUAUUAGGAGGAACACCAGUGGCGAAGGCGGCUUUCUGGACUGUAACUGACACUGAGGCAUGAAAGCGUGGGUAGCAAACAGGAUUAGAUACCCUGGUAGUCCACGCCGUAAACGAUGGGUACUAGGUGUAGGAGGUAUCGACCCCUUCUGUGCCGUCGUUAACACAAUAAGUACCCCGCCUGGGGAGUACGGUCGCAAGACUAAAACUCAAAGGAAUUGACGGGG
RNAcentral lists this ribosomal RNA (397 nucleotides) under uncultured bacterium. RNAcentral describes it as "partial 16S ribosomal RNA". It matches the Rfam family "Bacterial small subunit ribosomal RNA", at positions 523 to 918 of the family's 1533-position model. The record is from RNAcentral.